AAGUCGUAACAAGGUUUCCGUAGGUGAACCUGCGGAAGGGCAUUAUCACGUAUCCAAACGUUAAAAAAACCCCCCGUGAACAUUGAUCCUGCUAUUGUAACCCGCGAAGCUUGCAAUCUCUGGUAAAUCAUAGCCCGGAAAGUAGUUUUAAUUCAGAGAGCUCUGGCCCGUGAGAAUAUUGGAACAGUUACAAUUUUGAGCGGUAGUUCCGUAGGCGUUGUUUCCCCAAACAGUCAGUGCCUGAAAGUGUGAAAAAAAACCGAACAAAUGUUAACAAUGGAUAUCUUGGUUCUC
Molecule: unclassified non-coding RNA, 294 nt
Filed under: fungal sp.
Lineage: Eukaryota; Fungi
Description: partial internal transcribed spacer region
Source: RNAcentral